CUGGCAGUCAGAGGCGAUGAAGGGCGUACUAAUCUGCGAUAAGCGCCGGUAAGGUGAUAUGAACCGUUAUAACCGGCGAUACCCGAAUGGGGAAACCCAGUGUGAUUCGUCACACUAUCAUUAACUGAAUCCAUAGGUUAAUGAGGCGAACCGGGGGAACUGAAACAUCUAAGUACCCCGAGGAAAAGAAAUCAACCGAGAUUCCCCCAGUAGCGGCGAGCGAACGGGGAGGAGCCCAGAGCCUGAAUCAGCAUGUGUGUUAGUGGAAGCGUCUGGAAAGGCGCGCGAUACAGGGUGACAGCCCCGUACACAAAAGCGCAUGUGCUGUGAGCUCGAUGAGUAGGGCGGGACACGUGGUAUCCUGUCUGAAUAUGGGGGGACCAUCCUCCAAGGCUAAAUACUCCUGACUGACCGAUAGUGAACCAGUACCGUGAGGGAAAGGCGAAAAGAACCCCGGCGAGGGGAGUGAAAAAGAACCUGAAACCGUGUACGUACAAGCAGUGGGAGCACCCUUUGGGUGUGACUGCGUACC
Molecule: ribosomal RNA, 532 nt
Filed under: Salmonella enterica subsp. enterica serovar Enteritidis
Lineage: Bacteria; Pseudomonadati; Pseudomonadota; Gammaproteobacteria; Enterobacterales; Enterobacteriaceae
Description: partial 23S ribosomal RNA
Rfam family: Bacterial large subunit ribosomal RNA
Source: RNAcentral